UGUUGCAGUCUGUUCCUUUCUAAAGAACUAUGGAUGGAUUUUGUUUAAAGGAAUGAAGACAGAAAUGUGUUUGUGCUCUCUGCUGCAUAUAGACAAAGACCUGCUGAUGAGACAUGGCAAGUACAUAUACAUCACCUUCCUACAGGUCUAAGAUAUGAAAAUCAGGCAUCCUUGGAGUAAGACCUGACAUAUGCUGUGGUACAGAGGAGCCUGAUGUCACUUCUGCUGAGGAAGUAUUGUCCUUGCACUGUGAAGGCUAGGCAUGAGAUAAAAACUACUGGCAAGUAUGAGAGCUAUUCUGUUGUGCUCAGAGUCCUCAUGCACUGAAGAGUAGCUGACUGUGCUCCUGACUAAGAGGUACUGAGUCUGUCUUGGGAGUACCCAGGUAUACUCUCAUAAAAAGAUUUGUACGUUCUGUAAGUUCCCUCCAGUGUUUUUGUUGUUGUUGUUUGUUUGUUUUUCAGAAUGCCUAUGGCUAUCUCUUUUUAAAUUACAGAAAGAUAUGGGCAAGAUUUAUGAUUUGGAUAAAAUGAGUGAAUUUUAGUCAUGAAGCACAGCUAUAAAAAGUGAAUAUGGAAAGAAUAUCCAUGCUGAGAAAAUUUAUCUGAAAGCUAAAUUAUCAAGUCCCAUCAUCAGAG
Molecule: long non-coding RNA, 638 nt
Organism: Gallus gallus (chicken)
Lineage: Eukaryota; Metazoa; Chordata; Aves; Galliformes; Phasianidae
Source: Ensembl